UACAGAGGUCUCGAGCGUUGUUCGGAUUCAUUGGGCGUAAAGGGUGCGUAGGUGGCUAGGUAAGUCGGAUGUGAAAACCUGGGGCUCAACCGCAGGCGUGCACCCGAUACUCCCGGGCUGGAGGCAGGUAGGGGAGAUCGGAAUUCCUGGUGUAGCGGUGAAAUGCGCAGAUAUCAGGAGGAACACCGGUGGCGAAGGCGGAUCUCUGGGCCGUGACUGACGCUGAGGAGCGAAAGCGUGGGGAGCAAACAGG
RNAcentral lists this ribosomal RNA (253 nucleotides) under uncultured bacterium. RNAcentral describes it as "partial 16S ribosomal RNA". It matches the Rfam family "Bacterial small subunit ribosomal RNA", at positions 524 to 776 of the family's 1533-position model. The record is from RNAcentral.